RNAcentral lists this ribosomal RNA (496 nucleotides) under uncultured bacterium. RNAcentral describes it as "bacterial SSU rRNA". It matches the Rfam family "Bacterial small subunit ribosomal RNA", at positions 16 to 507 of the family's 1533-position model. The record is from RNAcentral.
AUCAUGGCUCAGAUUGAACGCUGGCGGAAUGCUUUACACAUGCAAGUCGAACGGCAGCACGGGGGCAACCCUGGUGGCGAGUGGCGAACGGGUGAGUAAUACAUCGGAACGUGCCCAAUCGUGGGGGAUAACGUAGCGAAAGCUACGCUAAUACCGCAUACGAUCUACGGAUGAAAGCGGGGGAUCGCAAGACCUCGCGCGAAUGGAGCGGCCGAUGGCAGAUUAGGUAGUUGGUGGGGUAAAGGCUCACCAAGCCGACGAUCUGUAGCUGGUCUGAGAGGACGACCAGCCACACUGGGACUGAGACACGGCCCAGACUCCUACGGGAGGCAGCAGUGGGGAAUUUUGGACAAUGGGCGCAAGCCUGAUCCAGCCAUUCCGCGUGCAGGAUGAAGGCCUUCGGGUUGUAAACUGCUUUUGGACGGAACGAAAAGCUACUUUCUAAUACAGAGUGGUCAUGACGGUACCGUCAGAAUAAGCACCGGCUAACUACGUG